CUCCUCCUCCUCCUCCCGGGAUGCUGGCACAGAGUUGUGAUCGAGCCCCAAGUGGAUUGCAGCGCAUAAUGGAACCCGGGUUUAAUGUGACCGGGACGGGGGGUGGGCAGCUAUGCGGGUCAGGGAGUGGGAGAAUUUAAGAACAGGAAGCCCACCCCCACCCUAGAUUUUCCCAAAUCACUAAGGAUUUUAGUAGGAUUCAGAACCCAAGCUUCCAAGACACUCGCUGUGCUAAAAAUAAUCUUCAUAACUUCUAAAACACUGACUCAUGGGCAGGAGGACACUUUGACAGCAUGUUAUUGUUGGGGAGCUGUAAUUUUGUUGUUGUGCUAUAGCAAUGUGACAUGAUGGCAUUUCAUGUUGUGAUGUUGUCGUCAUUUAAACACAAACAGAUGACAGGAAUCUGCUGUACUUAAAAAAAAACCCAAUCCUAACAAGCGCUGCAGCUAUUAGCUACUCAGUCUAUAGACAAAGUACAUAUGGGGCAUGAGCCCAAAUGGAGACAAGUAAAAAUUUGCAAGGCUCUUUGGUUUCAUUAGAAAAAGUUUUUUUUUUAGAUAUAAUUUUGCAUAAAAGGAUCACAGGAAAGUAUUAGGACAAGUCUAAGGGGAUUUUUUUUAUUUGUGCCCUUCUGUUUUAAAAUUUUUUUUACAAUGAGUCUAUUAUUUUCACAUCAGAAGAGUUUUAUAAACUGCAAGAUUGGCAGUUCCAUUUUUUUGGCCUCAGGCUGGAGUACAGUGGUGUGAUCCUAACUCAAGCAACCCUCCUGCCUUGGCCCCCCAAAGUGUUGGGAUUACAGGCAUGAGCCACCAUGCCUAGCUCCACAUCAGGUAUUUCUAAUGAGAAUUGAACCUACAAAUUGAAAUGUAAGUAUAAAAUAUACAGCAGAUUUCAAAGACAGUGGGAAAAAAUGUACAAUAUCUCUAUUGAUACUUUAAAAAUAUUGAUCACAUGUUGAAAUGGUAGUACUUUAGAUAUGUUGGGUUUAUUUUUAAUUUUUCAAAAUGUGGCUAAUAGAAAAUUUAAAGUUAUAUAUGUAGCUUACAUAAUAUUUCUAUUUGCUGUAGGAUUCAGUGGCUUACCCAGCACUUCAGAAGACAUUUGAAAAUCAGUCAUGUUCCUCAACCAAGUGAUGCCUUUUAGCGGUGCAAAUUCUGUGCUUAGGAAACUUGCUGCUUGCCCUAAUCUUUUCUUUUUUUGUUUUAAAAUGUGUCAUGUGGCAUUUAAUUGUCCUCAUCUUAUCAAGGGUUCAGUGCACCCUAAUGAGACUUGAAUGCAUCACAAAAUGAUUGUUUCAGAAAGAUUGCUUCAACAACAGAAGAUGGAGAUGGGAAGAGAAUGGUGGGGGAUGUGGUAGCAAAGAAGCUAUUCCAAUGAUCCAACCUCAAGAUCAUGCAAAUGUGAACUAAAGCAAUGGCAUCAGGAUGGAGCAGAGAAGAUGGACUGGAGAGAGUUUUAGGAGGUAGAAGUGAUAGAACUCUGGUGGUGACUGGCUGUAGGGAAAGAGGUCAAUCAUCCAUCCUCCUCAGAAUAGUUGGCAGGUCACCGUGUACUUUAAGAUAGGAAAUACAAGAGAAAGAUCAGAUUGGCCACUGAGGGAUGGGGGUUGGGGAGAAAAGGAGAAAAAGUACUUAGUUUCAGACAUAUUACAUUUGAAAAACCAUAGCAUCUAGACAGACAUUCUGAAGACAGAAAAAGAUUCUGCUCUGGGACUUCAGGAUGAGGUUUUAUCUGAAGGUAUAGUACUGAGAAGCCAUCAGCCUGUAAAUGGUGGCUGCUCCAUGGGAGUAGAUGAAGAUAUUGGUGUCAUGGGCUAUCAGGAAGGACAGGGUGUUUAGCUAUGUUGGCUGUUGUGGAAAAGUCGAAUAAGACAAGGACUGAGAAAUAUCUUUUUGAUCUGGCAAUCAUGUCACCCAAAAGAGAAGGAAUAACUUUGAAACUAUUUUUACAGAUGGAGGAAGGUAGCCUGGGCCCAACUGAACUCACUGUGUAUUCAGAAAAUAACCCACAGUUGGGAAAUUCACAGUGCCAUUGCUUUGAAUCAAAUCCUUACUUCAUACCAGGAUGUACCAUGAUUCUUGGCAACAUGACUGGGUAUUGAUGUCUUGUCUAGCCAAUGAAAUCCACAUAGCAAAGAUGUUAUGAAGACAUGGAAACAUGAAUAUGAAAUAAAAUCAGUAUAGCUAUUUGGAUGAUUAGCUAUCGACACAAGACAGUCCCUGGUAAUUGCCUUUAAUAGUAAGGUAGCACUAGGCCAUGAAAGGUGCUUCAGUGUACCUGCCUCAUUUGUGGCUCCCUUUUGGCCAUGUGACCCUAACUCCCCUGGUCACAAGUGGCUGAACCAGCAAUCAAUACCUGACCUGAAGGCAACCCUCUAUAGGCUGGCAAGUGGCCUACAAAGUUGCUCAGUGCUAGAGAACUGAGCCCAACAGAAGUACAUUCUAAUGUUUAGUGAUUGGCCAAUCGUAUUCUUUGUGAUGGUGCUGAUGGGAAGGUAGUGAUGUGCAUCAGACAUGCAGAGUUAGUAGCAGCUGGAGCAGACACAGAAGCCUCCCUAACAAUGGGCAAUGGAGAAAGGAACAACAGACAGUUCUGAAAGAAUACCAAGUGCUCCUAAGCCAAAAGCUAUAGUUAGGCUGCUGGAGGUACUGCCAGUCCUAAAUGAUGGCAAUGAUGGUCCAUUUUUCUGUGAAACUUGACUGUAUACCUGUUAAGAUUUUUUUGUGUUCUUUUUAAGGCUCCAUGAAUGAAUCUUUCCAAUAAACAAGUUUGUAACAAAGGCAACCUGAACAUUUCUGAUACUUGAAACUUGAAAAUAUCUAAUACAAUUUUACAUCACUUUCAAAUCAUGAGUGAAGAAGUUAAUGUGUUAUUGAA
RNAcentral lists this long non-coding RNA (2877 nucleotides) under Homo sapiens (human). RNAcentral describes it as "HSALNT0381374". Lineage: Eukaryota; Metazoa; Chordata; Mammalia; Primates; Hominidae. The record is from RNAcentral.